Molecule: transfer RNA, 75 nt
Filed under: Erwinia amylovora
Lineage: Bacteria; Pseudomonadati; Pseudomonadota; Gammaproteobacteria; Enterobacterales; Erwiniaceae
Also listed under: 20 other names
Description: tRNA-Gln
Rfam family: tRNA
About the family: Transfer RNA (tRNA) molecules are approximately 80 nucleotides in length.
Source: RNAcentral
UGGGGUAUCGCCAAGCGGUAAGGCACCGGCUUUUGAUGCCGGCAUUCCCUGGUUCGAAUCCAGGUACCCCAGCCA